This 18-nucleotide small nuclear RNA is filed under the name Arabidopsis thaliana (thale cress). RNAcentral describes it as "snRNA_02274". Lineage: Eukaryota; Viridiplantae; Streptophyta; Magnoliopsida; Brassicales; Brassicaceae. The record is from RNAcentral.
GGGCUUUUGUAACCUAGC